RNAcentral lists this transfer RNA (68 nucleotides) under Diplospinus multistriatus (striped escolar). RNAcentral describes it as "tRNA-Ser". The record is from RNAcentral. Lineage: Eukaryota; Metazoa; Chordata; Actinopteri; Scombriformes; Gempylidae.
GAGAGAGACUUAGAAGUAACGGAAACUGCUAAUUUUCGCAACCUUGGUUAAAGCCCGAGGCUCACUCG